UUAGAAAUUAAACAAACAGUUAACUUGGUCCCAACUAGGAAAUAGCAUGGUAGUGACAGUUGAUGAUCAGUGUAAUGUUGAUCUUUGACCCUUGAGCCCCAUAAAAUUUCAUCCUCUUGUCUCUCAGCUGCCUUAUAAUUACAGUGAAUGUUUCCAGUUUUCACAGCUCUUGCUUGGUAACUAACUGUGUGUCUAGGCCUGAUUUAUUUUAAUUCCCAUGUCAGUUGCUCAGUUGCAGUUCAUUCCAAAGGGGACUUAAAUCACCAUUUUUUUUGUUGUUGUUGGUUUUUUUUUCUUUUGUUAGCUACAAGCAAGAAGAUCCUGGAUCAUGCCAGAGGUUUAAAAGAAGAAGUGAAGUUCAACAAGUUCAUGUCAUAUUUUAACAUGUUCCAGAAUUUCUCACAGGUCUACCAAACUCAAAUGCAACAUUUCCAAAUCACCGUUAAUGGUCUUCGCCUCAAAUCUGUGAAUGGUAUCCUAUGAAGUUGUGCAAUAUGAUAUCUUCAGAUCCCCCAUCUCUGAAUGUUCCCACCUGUGUGUGCAGCAAAGAGCCAAAGUUUAAUCUUUGACAUUUUCUUUCUUUCUCCCACAUUCCAUUAGUUAUUGUUCUGUCCCUGUAUCGUAUGUUUUCGUUGCCCUCUAUACCUACCUUACAUAAAACUUAAUAGAGCAUAUAACUAAUUAUGUAUUUUCUUGAUGAUCUAAUCAACAAUAAACUUUCUCAGUAGUCUAAAUUCUUCAUGAAAUCAUAGACUAUAUUUUACUCACUAUUAUAGCCCUAGUAUAUAGCAAUAUUGUUAUAUGUGAGGUGCUUAAUAUAUAAUUUUCC
This 829-nucleotide long non-coding RNA is filed under the name Homo sapiens (human). RNAcentral describes it as "HSALNT0213984". Lineage: Eukaryota; Metazoa; Chordata; Mammalia; Primates; Hominidae. The record is from RNAcentral.